AGCUUUGUGCAGUGGCAGUAUUAUAGCCAGUGAGAUUUAUCUGAAGUGCAAUUAUUGCUAAUUGAAAAAAAAAAAUACAAGAAAC
Molecule: small nuclear RNA, 85 nt
Gene: U4
Rfam family: U4 spliceosomal RNA
About the family: U4 small nuclear RNA (U4 snRNA) is a component of the major U2-dependent spliceosome. The structure of U4 snRNA from yeast and human has been reported.
Source: Ensembl